CAGAUGUUCCUUCAGAGUUGAAAUGAAUGAAGAUAAUCUACUUCCUAGGCGAAACCUCUGCAAGAUGACGGGGAUGGCAGUGAACAGAUCUGAAGCCAGGGUUUUAUGGCUCUAUAAUAAAAACUAAAAUGUAACUCUUUGAGCUAUUCCAACUUACCUAGAUAACAAUAAGCUGUCAAAUAGUGUACAGGAGACUAACUUUGAAAAUAAAGACCUCUGCUUUAACUUAGGUCAAUCCUUAGCCAAGAUAAAUCAGCAAUAUGCUCCUGCAAAAGGAUAAUACAUUUUUUCAAAAGAAAUAGAAACUAAUGAAGACUGUUGUGAGGAUGGUGCCAAGUUUGAACAAUGACCGCCAUCAUCCUCCCUGUCCUCCAGUUGUGGUCUUAAACUUUAUAUAUCUAAGAAAAACAAACAGAACCAGACUUUUUUAAUGCUAAAUAACUACCAGGCCUGUACAAUUCAGUAGACAAUUGUCUACUGAAUAUUUUAGGGACUUGAUGGUAAUGUUUUGAAUCAUUCAGUGUGGAAUCAAAUGUAUCAGUGAUAUUCAAACUAUGAUCCAUAGGCCAUAUCCAGCGAGUGACAGGUCUUAACUGGUCACUUGAAAUUCUCGCUAUGCAGAAUGAAGCAGAAAAGACUUAAUUCAUUGAACACCACAAUUUUGUGUGACCUGUGACACACAUAUUGCACACAUGUGGCCCCUAGAGCAAACAAGAUUCAGCAUCAUUGUAAUACAUACAGUUUGCAAGCCAACAUAAUUUUUUAUUUGGAUCUGAGAACAUUUAUAAGUAUCUAACACUAUUCAACACUUUCUGACAGCCGAAACUUUGCAAAAUACAUGGUUACAAGGAGUGUUCCGUAAAUGUGUGUAUGUUAAAAUAAAAAAUUGUGCUGUCUCGUGUAUUUCAAUGAAGUGUGAUUUAUCAGUAUUUUGUAACAAGUACUGAGUCUCUGUGUAACUGGUUUCUAAAACUAACAUAAACUAUUUUGCUAAAAAAAAAAUAAUUAAAUGUACUUUUUUCCUUUAAGAUAGGACUUUUUUUUUCCUUUUAGUACAAUACUUAUAAUAAUUUUUAUCAUAAUAAAUCAAUACAAUGUGUAUAUAAUUUAGCAUUUGUCUGCCUUUAGAUGUAUAAAAAUGAAUUUUGUAAAGAUUCUUUUUUUUUAAACUA
Molecule: long non-coding RNA, 1172 nt
Organism: Biomphalaria glabrata
Lineage: Eukaryota; Metazoa; Mollusca; Gastropoda; Planorbidae
Exons: 3
Source: RefSeq, a predicted model, not a curated record